Molecule: ribosomal RNA, 224 nt
Filed under: uncultured bacterium
Lineage: Bacteria
Description: partial 16S ribosomal RNA
Rfam family: Bacterial small subunit ribosomal RNA
Source: RNAcentral
UAGGAAUCUACCCUCAAGCGGGGGACAACCAAGGGAAACUUUGGCUAAUACCGCAUACACUCGAGAGAGGAAAGUUGCCGCAAGGUGACACUUGAGGAGGAGCCUGCGUCCGAUUAGCUAGUUGGUAGGGUAAAAGCCUACCAAGGCGAUGAUCGGUAACUGGUCUGAGAAGACGACCUGUCACACUGGGACUGCGACACGGCCCAGACUCCUACGGGAGGCAG